RNAcentral lists this small nuclear RNA (143 nucleotides) under Hucho hucho (huchen). RNAcentral's name for it is "Flavo-1 RNA (ENSHHUG00000015331.1)". It matches the Rfam family "Flavo-1 RNA". Lineage: Eukaryota; Metazoa; Chordata; Actinopteri; Salmoniformes; Salmonidae. The record is from RNAcentral.
UUUUAGCCCAGAUGGUAACGAAAACCCCGGAGUUAUUCUAGUUUGUUUUUCUUGGUAUAAAAGAGCGACUGGAAGAAGCUCCUUUUAUGCCUUAGAAAAACAACUGGAAUAAUGAGGAGUUGCAGUGUACAGCUGGAUUGGCU